Molecule: non-coding RNA, 240 nt
Organism: Pelobates cultripes (western spadefoot toad)
Lineage: Eukaryota; Metazoa; Chordata; Amphibia; Anura; Pelobatidae
Source: the annotation of a GenBank genome assembly
CUCUCUGUUGCUUCCUUGGUGGAUGUGAUGUUGAACUUGCAGCAGUGAGCCAUUACUAGAUGUGAAGGCCUAACCGUGGGUGAGAUCAAGCGUGUGUGUAAGGGGUUACUAUAUAGAUAGAUAGAUUUUAAAAGGGUUGUUGCUCCGUGGGUCUGGGCUGUGUGUUUGUGAUACAUUUAUAAUAUUGUGUUGUUGCCUUUUAAUAAAUACCUUUUAAUGUAGACGAACCUUGUGUAGUAU